AUGGGCCGAGGAGAUGCCUGCUUCCGACAUUUGGCCCAACAUUCUGCUCACCACCACCACUCACUCCAACAGCGCCGCCUCCAUUCCCCAUUGCUCCCCAUACCAAACCCUCGCCGUCACCUCCCUCCCCCUCCACCGGCGGCCAUGGAGACGGACCCGCGAGUGAUCAUCGGCCCCUCCGGGAGCGUCUCUAGGAGCGAUAUGCGCGCCGACCUUGAGCGCCGCGGCCAGGACCCUGAGUCGCUGGAUCUCGGCACCAACAUGAUGCUCCACAUCCUGUACGGCUACCUCCCGAAGCCGCCCGUCUCCCCCACCGCCACCAUCUCGCUCGCCGGCGCUUCCAGGGUCCCCGACGGCGUCGACCGCAUCAGCCGCCUCCCCGACGUGGUCCUCCUCGACAUCAUCUCCCGCCUCCCCGCCAAGGACGCCGCGCGCACCGCCGCCCUCGCCUCGCGCUGGCGCCCGCUCUGGCGCUCGGCUCCCCUUACUCUUGUCGACAGCCACCUGCUUCCGGACGGCGGCGCGUCCGGGCCUCUCAUCAUCGGCGCUCCCUCUCCCCGCGCCGUCACCGCCGCCGUGGCCAGCGCCCUCGCGGCGCAUCCGGGGCCCUUCCGCUGCGUCCACCUUACCUGCAGCACGAUGGAGGAGCACCGGGGCGAGCUAUCGCGCUGGCUCGACAUCCUCGUCGCCAAGGGGGUCAAAGAACUCGUCUUUGUCAACCGCCCUUGGCCGAUGGACCUGCGCCUCCCCGCCACGCUCUUCAGCUGCGCGUCCCUCACCCGCCUCUAUCUCGGCGUCUGGAGGCUCCCGGACACCACAGCCGUACCGCGCGGCGCCAGAUUCCCCAACCUCCUGGAGCUCGGCCUCUGCAUGAAUGUCAUGGAGGACCGUGAUCUAGCCUUCAUGCUGGAAAGAAGCCCCGUCCUGGAGUUUCUCCUUAUCAUGUGGAGCCAAACCGGAGUGCGCCUCCGCCUCGUCAGCCAAAGCCUGCGGUGUCUUCAACUGGCCCUUACCUGCUUGCAGUACAUCGACGUGGUGGAUGCACCUCGCCUCGAGAGGCUCUUCCAAUGGGAAACUGUUCCCAGGGCCGAGCCCACUCCCCCCGGCAACAAGAAACGCCCUUCCUGGAUCAAGAUUGGCCAUGCACCCAACCUGCGUGUGCUGGGAUACCUUGAGCCAGGAGGGCAGGAAUUGGCUGGGAGCAAGGAGAACAUUGUCCCUAGUGUCCAGAUUUUGGCCAUGGUGGUGCAGUUCGGUGUCCGCAGCACUGUGAAGAAAGUGCCUGGCUUCCUCAGAUGCUUCCCAAACCUGGAGACGCUCCAUGUCCAUUCCCCCACCUUAUCUGGAGAGCCCACUGGCAAGGUGAAUCUCAAGUUCUGGCAGGAGGAUGGUCCCAUCAAAUGCGUCCUUCAGAGCUUGAAGAAGCUGUUCUUCUAUGAGUUCCGAGGGUCGAGAAGCGAGGUUUCUUUCCUCAAGUUCAUCGCGGAGACAGGGCGGGUGCUGGAGCAGAUGGUGGUGGUGGUUGCUGUGGAAUGUUUCUCUCCGGGGGAUGAUGGUGUGAAUGCCAAGCUGAAGCCUCUGACGGGUGCGAAAUGGAACAGCAAAGCUUGCCAACUAGAGCUCUUCAAGAGCCCGCGCACUGGCGGGGGAGGUCCUGCUUACAGCACCAAGAUAGCUUCUUAUUUUGGGUUUGCCGACCCUUUUGAUCUCCAGUACUACUACAAAGCAGAAAGGAUCAUCCAUGUAAGUUAA
This 1752-nucleotide ribosomal RNA is filed under the name Triticum aestivum (bread wheat). RNAcentral describes it as "partial small subunit ribosomal RNA". The record is from RNAcentral. Lineage: Eukaryota; Viridiplantae; Streptophyta; Magnoliopsida; Poales; Poaceae.